GAUGAACGCUGGCGGCGUGCCUAAUACAUGCAAGUCGAGCGAACAGACGAGGAGCUUGCUCCUCUGACGUUAGCGGCGGACGGGUGAGUAACACGUGGAUAACCUACCUAUAAGACUGGGAUAACUUCGGGAAACCGGAGCUAAUACCGGAUAAUAUAUUGAACCGCAUGGUUCAAUAGUGAAAGACGGUUUUGCUGUCACUUAUAGAUGGAUCCGCGCCGCAUUAGCUAGUUGGUAAGGUAACGGCUUACCAAGGCAACGAUGCGUAGCCGACCUGAGAGGGUGAUCGGCCACACUGGAACUGAGACACGGUCCAGACUCCUACGGGAGGCAGCAGUAGGGAAUCUUCCGCAAUGGGCGAAAGCCUGACGGAGCAUCGCCGCGUGAGUGAUGAAGGUCUUCGGAUCGUAAAACUCUGUUAUUAGGGAAAAACGAAUGUGUAAGUAACUAUGCACGUCUGGACGGUACCAAAUCAGAAAGCCACGGCUAACUACGU
Molecule: ribosomal RNA, 496 nt
Filed under: uncultured bacterium
Lineage: Bacteria
Description: partial 16S ribosomal RNA
Rfam family: Bacterial small subunit ribosomal RNA
Source: RNAcentral